RNAcentral lists this ribosomal RNA (392 nucleotides) under uncultured bacterium. RNAcentral describes it as "bacterial SSU rRNA". It matches the Rfam family "Bacterial small subunit ribosomal RNA", at positions 618 to 1009 of the family's 1533-position model. The record is from RNAcentral.
GAACGGCAUCCGGAACUGUCAGGCUAGAGUGCAGGAGAGGAAGGUAGAAUUCCCGGUGUAGCGGUGAAAUGCGUAGAGAUCGGGAGGAAUACCAGUGGCGAAGGCGGCCUUCUGGACUGACACUGACACUGAGGUGCGAAAGCGUGGGUAGCAAACAGGAUUAGAUACCCUGGUAGUCCACGCCGUAAACGAUGUCGACCAGCCGUUGGGUGCCUAGCGCACUUUGUGGCGAAGUUAACGCGAUAAGUCGACCGCCUGGGGAGUACGGCCGCAAGGUUAAAACUCAAAUGAAUUGACGGGGGCCCGCACAAGCGGUGGAGCAUGUGGUUUAAUUCGAUGCAACGCGAAGAACCUUACCUACUCUUGACAUCCUGCGAACUUGGUAGAGAUAC